This 464-nucleotide ribosomal RNA is filed under the name uncultured bacterium. Its description in RNAcentral is "partial 16S ribosomal RNA". It matches the Rfam family "Bacterial small subunit ribosomal RNA", at positions 28 to 506 of the family's 1533-position model. The record is from RNAcentral.
GAUGAACGCUGGCGGCGUGCUUAACACAUGCAAGUCGAACGGAAAGGCUCCUGCUUGCAGGGGUACUCGAGUGGCGAACGGGUGAGUAACACGUGGGUGAUCUGCCCUGCACUUCGGGAUAAGCCUGGGAAACUGGGUCUAAUACCGGAUAGGACGAUGGUUUGGAUGCCAUUGUGGAAAGUUUUUCGGUGUGGGAUGAGCUCGCGGCCUAUCAGCUUGUUGGUGGGGUAAUGGCCUACCAAGGCGUCGACGGGUAGCCGGCCUGAGAGGGUGUACGGCCACAUUGGGACUGAGAUACGGCCCAGACUCCUACGGGAGGCAGCAGUGGGGAAUAUUGCACAAUGGGCGCAAGCCUGAUGCAGCGACGCCGCGUGGGGGAUGACGGCCUUCGGGUUGUAAACUCCUUCCGCUAGGGACGAAGCGCAAGUGACGGUACCUGGAGAAGAAGCACCGGCUAACUACGU